RNAcentral lists this ribosomal RNA (497 nucleotides) under uncultured bacterium. Its description in RNAcentral is "partial 16S ribosomal RNA". It matches the Rfam family "Bacterial small subunit ribosomal RNA", at positions 28 to 507 of the family's 1533-position model. The record is from RNAcentral.
GAUGAACGCUGGCGGCGUGCCUAAUACAUGCAAGUCGAGCGAACGGACGAGAAGCUUGCUUCUCUGAUGUUAGCGGCGGACGGGUGAGUAACACGUGGAUAACCUACCUAUAAGACUGGGAUAACUUCGGGAAACCGGAGCUAAUACCGGAUGAUAUUUUGAACCGCAUGGUUCAAAAGUGAAAGACGGUCUUGCUGUCACUUAUAGAUGGAUCCGCGCUGCAUUAGCUAGUUGGUAAGGUAACGGCUUACCAAGGCAACGAUGCGUAGCCGACCUGAGAGGGUGAUCGGCCACACUGGAACUGAGACACGGUCCAGACUCCUACGGGAGGCAGCAGUAGGGAAUCUUCCGCAAUGGGCGAAAGCCUGACGGAGCAACGCCGCGUGAGUGAUGAAGGUCUUCAGAUCGUAAAACUCUGUUAUUAGGGAAGAACAAAUGUGUAAGUAACUGUGCACGUCUUGACGGUACCUAAUCAGAAAGCCACGGCUAACUACGUG